RNAcentral lists this long non-coding RNA (1280 nucleotides) under Olea europaea subsp. europaea. Lineage: Eukaryota; Viridiplantae; Streptophyta; Magnoliopsida; Lamiales; Oleaceae. The record is from RNAcentral.
GUAGCUUCCAUGGGUUGGUAUCUUUUUACAUGUGUUUUAUUCCAAAUUUUAGUACUAUUAUGGUACCACUCAUGAAUUGUAUGAAGGGUGGAAAAUUCAUGUGGACGAACAAAACAAUCGAGGCAUUUGAACAAAUUAAGGAGAAGUUGACAACCGCUUCUAUACUUGUGAUACCGGAUUUUUCUCAACCUUUUGAGUUAUAUUGUGAUGCCUCUGGAGUUGGCAUUGGGAUCAUUCUCAGUCAGGGGGCAGGCUCGUGGCUUACUUCAACGAGAAAUUGCAUGGGUCCAGACUUAACUAUAGUACCUAUGAUGUGGAAUUUUAUUCUAUAGUUCGGGCCUUGAAGUAUUGGAGCUCUUAUCUAGCUUAUAAUGAGUUCAUCCUCUAUUUAGAUCAUGAGGCAUUGAAGCACCUUCAUAGUCAGGAUAAACUCUCCGCUAGACAUGCACGUUGGGCAUCUUACACUUUACAAUUUUCUUUCACCAUUAAACACAAAUCAGGAGCUGUGAAUAGGGUGGCAGAUGCUUUAAGCAGGAAGGCGCAUUAUUGGUGCAAAUGCAGACUAAGGUAAUUGCUUUUGAUCAGUUCAAAGAUUACUUAUCUGUUGAUCCUUUUUUGGGUCCUAUUUUGAAUGAAUUAGGAUCUCGACCACGAGAUGACUACACUACAUAUCAUGGGUUUCUAUUCAAAGGAAACCAAUUAUUUGUGCCCGAAAGGAGUCUACGCCUAAAGAUUAUUCAAGAAUUACACAAUGAAGGUCAUGUGGGGCAUGAGAAAACGUUGAAGCUUAUCACGGAGUAGUUUUUCUGGCCUCAUAUGCGGAAGGAAGUCGCAAAAUUUGUGGAGGGAUGUAAGAUAUAUCAGGUCUCGAAAGGGAAAGCAACUAAUGCAAGUCUUUAUUUGCCCUUGCCUAUUCCAAACGGACCUUGAACUAGUGUUAGCAUGGAUUUUGUGUUGGGGUUGCCUAGAACACAACACGAAUAUGAUUCUAUUUUUGUGGUGGUAGACAGGUUCUCCAAGAUGGCACACUUCGUGGCUUGUAAGAAGACAUCAGAUGUUGUUUGUGAGGCAUAACUUUAUUUUCAUGAGAUAUAUCGGUUACAUGGAUUGCCGUCGUCCAUUGUGUCUGACAGAGACGCUCGUUUUCUUAGCCACUUCUGGAGAUGUUUGUGGCAUUUGUCUAAUACCAAGCUCGACUUUAGUAGUGCCUAUCAUCCUCAAACCGAUCGAUAAAUCAAAGUUGUAAACCGUUCUUUGGAGACUUGUUACGAUGUCUGGUG